This 1118-nucleotide long non-coding RNA is filed under the name Sarcophilus harrisii (Tasmanian devil). RNAcentral's name for it is "lncRNA (ENSSHAG00000023695.1)". Lineage: Eukaryota; Metazoa; Chordata; Mammalia; Dasyuromorphia; Dasyuridae. The record is from RNAcentral.
GAGUCAUAUGGUCACUAAUCCAGCAGCUGUCUUGUUGCUUUAAAUAUUACACGUGCGCCAUGCGCAGACACACACAUACACACUCUUUUUAAAGGGGAGAGAGGGAUAGGAACACAAUACUUUGGCACAAUAAACUAAAAAGAUAAGGAGGACUACAAAUGCAGAACACUGUUGUCACACUAACAAAAUAUAUAUAAACUAUUUCAUUUGUGUAUAAGCUGCUUCCUCACAAUUUCUGGGAGUCAUAUUACAAGAAUAUGAAAUGGAGUCCAAUAUCUGGAAAUAUGCAUGGAAGACCUUAAUACAACAAGCUGUCAUUCAUAUUUAAGUUCUUCCAAUGUGACAGGAGGACCUUUAAAGAACACAUUACCCUGACCUCCCUAGUUUUCCUACCCUUACUUCCAGAAUCCAUUAUCAUCUUAUAUAAAUAAUACUCCCUAUACUGUUGUAAAUGGCAACCCUUAAUAAAUGAUCUUUCUAAGUUACUGUGGCUGAAAUAAUUUAAGUGGGCCUAUAUCUUAAUUAUGAACUCUUCUGACCUUAGCUAGAUUGGUCCUUGGAUGACUUACAUGUAGUUCAUUAAACAUAUACUCAAAAAGUCAAAUCAAGAUAACUUAAGUGUUUCUUCCCCCCACCCCCACUGGUCUGUUAUAAGCACCUAGUGUAUAAUAGGCACUUGAUAAAUAUUUUAUGAUGAUUAUAAAACUUAAUCACCAGAAGAUCACAAAAACAUGUCUAUCAUCACCAAUAAGAACUGUGGUUUGUUUUGAAAAACAAAGUACAGAGGCAGUCAUGUCUUGCUUUUCCAUCAAAUAAAGGGGGAAAAUGUAAAUGAAACAUUGUUUGACCUCAGAGUUCACAAGUAAAAUGUGAAGAAAAAAAAAAGCAAACAGACAAACCCUGCCCUGGAUACUUCCUGAAGAAAUCCUUCCAGCUGAAAUUUCAGACAUGAGUCAGAGUUCUCUCUCACCUAAAAUACUUCAUUCUUCUUUGUGUGCAUGCUGUAUAACAUGGGGGUAAAAUAUAAACUCCUUGAGUGCAGCAUUGCUUUCAUUUUUAUCUGCUUUAAGUUAUUUAUACAAAGGUAACAAAUAAAAAUUGAAUUGAAACCACCAUAA